GGUAGUGAGAUAAAAUGGAAAAAAUAUUAGGUUUGGAAUCAGAAGAUCUGGAUUCAAAUCCCAGCUCUGCUA
This 72-nucleotide transfer RNA is filed under the name Monodelphis domestica (gray short-tailed opossum). It matches the Rfam family "tRNA". From Rfam's summary of the family: Transfer RNA (tRNA) molecules are approximately 80 nucleotides in length. The record is from Rfam by way of RNAcentral. Lineage: Eukaryota; Metazoa; Chordata; Mammalia; Didelphimorphia; Didelphidae.